Molecule: long non-coding RNA, 2001 nt
Filed under: Astyanax mexicanus (Mexican tetra)
Lineage: Eukaryota; Metazoa; Chordata; Actinopteri; Characiformes; Acestrorhamphidae
Description: lncRNA (ENSAMXG00005008965.1)
Source: RNAcentral
AUGGAGAACUGCAACACCUCCAGUCCUUCACCUAAAGCCUCCAUCAGCUUCCAGCUGCACUCUACACAGCCUGCGCAACAUCCAGAAGCAUCAUCUCGAACCACUGCGACUCCAGACGAGCUGGGCCAGCAUGUGUGUGCAGCUCUGAGUCACAGCAUGGCCAGUAAGCAUGUGAAGCACUUCCAUUCUUCUUCUCCCUCCACUUCAGUGCCAGUGUCUGGCCAAGGGACUCCUUGCAGAGGGUGCCGGCGCCCUUAUGGUUCCUCUAGGUCGUCCGAGCCUGGCCACAUGUCCGUGGUCACCUUUAGCUACAUAGAGAAAGCAAAUGUCAAGAAAGUGGAGAGCCCGCACAACACACCAAGACAGGAGGCCGCUCAGCCUCAAAAAAGGUUCAGUGACUUGGCCUGGUCUCCAGGCACCUGCAGCAAUAAUAGUCCAAAUCACCAGCAGGCUGGCUCACCAGCUCUGAACCGGGCCACCGUAGACUCCGUGGGCAGAGCAGCUACGCGACGAGCCCUGGAGGACUUUGGGUCGCCCCAGCUGAGAUCUAAAUUUGCCCGAGGUUCAGACUGGAGCCCUGUGGGCCGACACAACCAGCAAACACGAUGUCAGUCAUGGUCAGGUACACCUGUACCCGGCCUUGGCACCCAUGCAAGCAACCAUAAUGCAGAUAAUGCAGAGGCUUCAUGUGGCCUGGCCAAGAGCCCAGCCACAAACCGCCUUUCAUUCAAUAUGGACCACUCCAACCUUCCCUUAGACUUGGACUUGACCCAACACUCAAGCCCAAGACUUAAAAAAGGCUCAAACCAGCACCAGCUAACCCAGCAUGGCCCAUCUAGCCCCAGCCAGAAGAAUAGCAGUCUUCUCUCAGGUCAAAAAGGCAGUUUGGUCUUUACAAACACACACGCCGAAGGUCUAAACCAGCUCAGUGGCAGCAAUACGUCGUCAGCAAUGAACAGUCCAGAGGUAGCUCGCAGGCUCGCAGAGGAAGCCACCAGAGUGUCGGUUAUUUUCGACGAGGUCAGGAAAUCUCCUUCCCAUGGACAGCCAUCAUAUCACUCAUCUCAUCAUCAGAGCCCAGUCAUUAAAAUGAACAUCCCGGUGAAUGGACCACAUUCCGAAAUCCCAAUAACAAACGGGGCGUCUCCUUGUGCACAAGAGUACUCAAGCAGUCAGAGCUCAGAAGCAAGAUGCGAACUGCCACAGCAGAACACCAAUCAUCUCCACAGUUCAAUCCCAUUAGGAGGAACCCCCGACUGCCCAGACUCCCCAGGCAUCCCAUCAAGACUAAUGCGUCCGUGGCUUUCCAAAGCAGAUGAGAGCUCCCCCUUACGAGACCCUCGCUUGCAUCGAGGCGAUGUCUCCAUAAGCACAGAAAGUCCCACACUGCACCGACGGAGACCACCACAGUACACUGGUUGGCCCUGCGAGGAACCCUGGGAGUCGUUCCCAGACAGGUGUGGCGAGGCCAGAGUUGACCAUACCUCGUCAGACAGCGUGGAGAUCUCCAGAAGGCUGCUUAUUGGUCAGCGGAUCGAGGAGGCACCGAUCAGUUGGACGUCUAUGCAGAUGUGGAGGGAGCAGAACGAGAAAGAAACGGACAUGAUUAGACCAAGAGAGAAGAAAAGAGAGAGCGAGAGAAGAGCGAGAGAUCAGCUAGGUGAGGUGGAGAAUGUGGUGGUUAGAGGAGAGGAUGAUGUUGCACAGAGUGUGGUGUGUAGGGAGGAGAGGAUGGAGGACAGGGCCGUGUUGAACCAGCAGCAGAGGCAGGCAGAGUGGAGGCGUCGGCAGGCUCUGCUCCUGGGGCCUGUGGUCCUGGAGGGGGAGAACGAGGAGAGGGCUGAAGGAGAGCAGAAUGGAGUACCAGGGUCUUCUCCAAGCUCCAGUGGGGUCACUGGGAGUCUUGGGGACAGAGAAUGUAUAUCUCCAGAGUCCAGCAGCAACAGCAAUCAGACAGAACAUGCCAGCUCAGGGAUACAGGUAAGACAUUACCUGCUUUGA